This 467-nucleotide ribosomal RNA is filed under the name uncultured bacterium. Its description in RNAcentral is "partial 16S ribosomal RNA". It matches the Rfam family "Bacterial small subunit ribosomal RNA", at positions 28 to 507 of the family's 1533-position model. The record is from RNAcentral.
GAUGAACGCUGGCGGCGCGCCUAACACAUGCAAGUCGAACGAUUAAAGCACCUUCGGGUGUGUAUAAAGUGGCGAACGGCUGAGUAACACGUGGGCAACCUGCCCCUUUCAUUGGGAUAGCCACGGGAAACCGUGGAUAAUACCGAAUACUUCGAGACUUCCGCAUGGAAGACUCGAGAAAGCUCCGGCGGAGAGGGAUGGGCCCGCGGCCUGUUAGCUUGUUGGUGGGGUAACGGCCUACCAAGGCAAUGAUGGGUAGCUGGGUUGAGAGACCGACCAGCCAGAUUGGGACUGAGACACGGCCCAGACUCCUACGGGAGGCAGCAGUGGGGAAUCUUGCACAAUGGGCGAAAGCCUGAUGCAGCGACGCCGCGUGCGGGAUGAAGGCCUUCGGGUUGUAAACCGCUUUCAGCAGGGACGAGGCGGAAGUGACGGUACCUGCAGAAGAAGCCCCGGCUAACUACGUG